Molecule: transfer RNA, 78 nt
Filed under: Mobiluncus mulieris 28-1
Lineage: Bacteria; Bacillati; Actinomycetota; Actinomycetes; Actinomycetales; Actinomycetaceae
Description: tRNA-Arg
Rfam family: tRNA
About the family: Transfer RNA (tRNA) molecules are approximately 80 nucleotides in length. Their secondary structure includes four short double-helical elements and three loops (D, anti-codon, and T loops).
Source: RNAcentral
UGCGCCCGUAGCUCAAUGGAUAGAGCAUCUGACUACGGAUCAGAAGGUUGGGGGUUCGAGUCCCUUCGGGCGCGCCCU